RNAcentral lists this ribosomal RNA (1165 nucleotides) under Proteus mirabilis. RNAcentral describes it as "partial 23S ribosomal RNA". It matches the Rfam family "Bacterial large subunit ribosomal RNA", at positions 1766 to 2925 of the family's 2925-position model. Lineage: Bacteria; Pseudomonadati; Pseudomonadota; Gammaproteobacteria; Enterobacterales; Morganellaceae. The record is from RNAcentral.
GCUGAAGCCAGUCGAAGAUACCAGCUGGCUGCAACUGUUUAUUAAAAACACAGCACUGUGCAAACACGAAAGUGGACGUAUACGGUGUGACGCCUGCCCGGUGCUGGAAGGUUAAUUGAUGGGGUUAGCGUAAGCGAAGCUCCUGAUCGAAGCCCCAGUAAACGGCGGCCGUAACUAUAACGGUCCUAAGGUAGCGAAAUUCCUUGUCGGGUAAGUUCCGACCUGCACGAAUGGCGUAAUGAUGGCCAGGCUGUCUCCACCCGAGACUCAGUGAAAUUGAACUCGCUGUGAAGAUGCAGUGUACCCGCGGCAAGACGGAAAGACCCCGUGAACCUUUACUAUAGCUUGACACUGAACAUUGAGCCUUGAUGUGUAGGAUAGGUGGGAGGCUUUGAAGUGUGGACGCCAGUCUGCAUGGAGCCAACCUUGAAAUACCACCCUUUAACGUUUGAUGUUCUAACCUAGGCCCAUAAACUGGGUCGGGGACCGUGUCUGGUGGGUAGUUUGACUGGGGCGGUCUCCUCCUAAAGAGUAACGGAGGAGCACGAAGGUUGGCUAAGCAUGGUCGGACAUCAUGCGGUUAGUGCAAAGGCAUAAGCCAGCUUGACUGCGAGAGUGACGGCUCGAGCAGGUACGAAAGUAGGUCUUAGUGAUCCGGUGGUUCUGAAUGGAAGGGCCAUCGCUCAACGGAUAAAAGGUACUCCGGGGAUAACAGGCUGAUACCGCCCAAGAGUUCAUAUCGACGGCGGUGUUUGGCACCUCGAUGUCGGCUCAUCACAUCCUGGGGCUGAAGUAGGUCCCAAGGGUAUGGCUGUUCGCCAUUUAAAGUGGUACGCGAGCUGGGUUUAGAACGUCGUGAGACAGUUCGGUCCCUAUCUGCCGUGGGCGUUGGAAGAUUGAGAGGGGUUGCUCCUAGUACGAGAGGACCGGAGUGAACGCACCACUGGUGUUCGGGUUGUCAUGCCAAUGGCAUUGCCCGGUAGCUAAGUGCGGAAGAGAUAACCGCUGAAAGCAUCUAAGCGGGAAACUUGCCUCGAGAUGAGUCUUCCCUGUCGCUUUAAGCGACCUAAAGGAACGUUUAAGACUAAGACGUUGAUAGGCUGGGUGUGUAAGCGUAGCGAUACGUUGAGCUAACCAGUACUAAUGAACCGUGAGGCUUAACCUG